RNAcentral lists this ribosomal RNA (422 nucleotides) under uncultured Dysgonomonas sp. Its description in RNAcentral is "bacterial SSU rRNA". It matches the Rfam family "Bacterial small subunit ribosomal RNA", at positions 356 to 774 of the family's 1533-position model. Lineage: Bacteria; Pseudomonadati; Bacteroidota; Bacteroidia; Bacteroidales; Dysgonomonadaceae. The record is from RNAcentral.
GAGGGAAAUUGGGCCAUUGGCGGAAGCCUUAAACCGGCCAGUUCCCGUAAAGGAGGACGGCUUUAUGGUUUGUAACCUCCUUUUUUACGGAAUUAAAAAGGCUAACUGUUGGCCAUUUCCAGUACUUUAUGAAUAAGCCAUCGCCAACCUCCGUGCCAGCAGCCGCGGUAAUACGGAGGAUGCGAGCGUUAUCCGGAUUUAUUGGGUUUAAAGGGUGCGCAGGCGGGCUUUUAAGUCAGCGGUGAAAUCUGGACGCUUAACGUCCAAACUGCCGUUGAAACUGGGAGUCUUGAGUAUGGAUGAAGUAGGCGGAAUUCGUUGUGUAGCGGUGACAUGCAUAGAUAUAACGAGGAACUCCGAUUGCGUAGGCAGCUUACUAAGCCAUAACUGACGCUCAUGCACGAAAGCGUGGGGAGCAAACA